GUUCGAAGUUGAAGAGUGGAGGCAAGGGCCGUCCAUUAGGGAGGUGGGCAUUUGGCUCACGAAGUUCAUUAAAAAAUGGGUGGAGAAGAGCCUCUAAAGCAGUAAAUCUUAAAUUUGGUGAGUACUGGAGAAGCCUAGAGACAAGAUCUACUGCUUCAGGUGGCAUGCGCUUGUGAAAUAUUUUGUGCCACGGGUGAGCCUUGAUUUGUGGGAAUUUAAACUCUGUAUAGUUCGGAUUCAUGCAUUUGAUUUCCUCACGAGUUGGGGUGCCAAGUACCUUGA
This 282-nucleotide unclassified non-coding RNA is filed under the name Hevea brasiliensis (rubber tree). Lineage: Eukaryota; Viridiplantae; Streptophyta; Magnoliopsida; Malpighiales; Euphorbiaceae. The record is from RNAcentral.